RNAcentral lists this ribosomal RNA (545 nucleotides) under uncultured bacterium. RNAcentral's name for it is "bacterial SSU rRNA". It matches the Rfam family "Bacterial small subunit ribosomal RNA", at positions 353 to 889 of the family's 1533-position model. The record is from RNAcentral.
AGUGGGGAAUAUUGGACAAUGGGGGCAACCCUGAUCCAGCAAUGCCGCGUGUGUGAAGAAGGCCUUCGGGUUGUAAAGCACUUUUAUCGGGAACGAAACAUUGUCGGUGAAUAUCCGGCAAGACUGACGGUACCCGAGGAAUAAGCACCGGCUAACUUCGUGCCAGCAGCCGCGGUAAUACGAAGGGUGCAAGCGUUACUCGGAAUUACUGGGCGUAAAGGGUGCGUAGGUGGUUUUUUAAGUCUGCUGUGAAAUCCCCGGGCUCAACCUGGGAAUGGCAGUGGAUACUGGAAAGCUGGAGUGCGGUAGAGGGUAGUGGAAUUCCCGGUGUAGCAGUGAAAUGCGUAGAGAUCGGGAGGAACACCAGUGGCGAAGGCGGCUACCUGGACCAGCACUGACACUGAGGCACGAAAGCGUGGGGAGCAAACAGGAUUAGAUACCCUGGUAGUCCACGCCCUAAACGAUGCGAACUGGAUGUUGGGUGCAACUUGGCACUCAGUAUCGAAGCUAACGCGUUAAGUUCGCCGCCUGGGGAGUACGGUCGC